Molecule: non-coding RNA, 105 nt
Organism: Canis lupus familiaris (dog)
Lineage: Eukaryota; Metazoa; Chordata; Mammalia; Carnivora; Canidae
Source: Rfam
AGGAGGAACAACCCCAGUGGCUGCCUCAGCUCUGGAAACCUGGAUUCAGCCCCUGCAGUAACUCCAGAGCUCUCAGCCUGCAGGGCCUGGAGGCUCCAGGCAGCG